Molecule: ribosomal RNA, 444 nt
Filed under: Acanthoceto cinerea
Lineage: Eukaryota; Metazoa; Arthropoda; Arachnida; Araneae; Anyphaenidae
Description: partial 16S ribosomal RNA
Source: RNAcentral
UUCUAUUAGAUAAUAUUAAUAGUAAAAUCUGCUCAAUGAUUAUAAAUAGCCGCUAAUACUGUGCUAAGGUAGCAUAAUAAUUUGUCUUUUAAUUGAAGACUAGAACAAAAGAUUAAACAUUUUAAUUAAUAUAUUUAAAUUAAUAAAUUAAAUUUAUUUUAAAUGUAAAAAAACAUUUAUAUAUUAGGAAGACGAUAAGACCCUAUUAAACUUAACUUUAGUUUAACUGGGGCAGUUAAUUAAGUAUUAUUUUAAUUUUAAAAAUAAAAUAAAUAGAUCCUAUAAAAUAGAUCAAAUGAUCAAGUUACUAUAGGGAUAACAGCGUAAUAUUAAUUUAAAGACCUUAUUAAAAUAAAAGAUUACGACCUCGAUGUUGAAUUAAUAACCUAUAUUGUUGCAAUAAACAAUUUUUAAGGAAGUCUGUUCGACUUUAAAAAUAUUACA